Ribosomal RNA from Carassius auratus (goldfish), 119 nucleotides. NCBI's taxonomy places the organism in Eukaryota, Metazoa, Chordata, Actinopteri, Cypriniformes, Cyprinidae. The record is from Ensembl.
GCUUACGGCCAUACCAACCUGGCUAUGCCCGAUCUCGUCUGAUCUCAGAAGCUAAGCAGGUUUGGGCCUGGUUAGUACUUGGAUGGGAGACCGCCUGGGAAUACCAGGUGCUGUAAGCU